UACGUAGGGCGCAAGCGUUGUCCGGAAUUAUUGGGCGUAAAGAGCUCGUAGGCGGUUUGUCGCGUCUGGUGUGAAAACUCAAGGCUCAACCUUGAGCUUGCAUCGGGUACGGGCAGACUAGAGUGCGGUAGGGGUGACUGGAAUUCCUGGUGUAGCGGUGGAAUGCGCAGAUAUCAGGAGGAACACCGAUGGCGAAGGCAGGUCACUGGCCGCAACUGACGCUGAGGAGCGAAAGCAUGGGGAGCGAACAGG
Molecule: ribosomal RNA, 252 nt
Filed under: uncultured bacterium
Lineage: Bacteria
Description: partial 16S ribosomal RNA
Rfam family: Bacterial small subunit ribosomal RNA
Source: RNAcentral